This 281-nucleotide unclassified non-coding RNA is filed under the name Hevea brasiliensis (rubber tree). Lineage: Eukaryota; Viridiplantae; Streptophyta; Magnoliopsida; Malpighiales; Euphorbiaceae. The record is from RNAcentral.
AACCGCUCUCGCGAAUACUGUCUUGAUGCUUUUCUCCAAUCUGUACCAGCCUUCAUCAUUGUCGCAAACUCAUCGUAACUUAUUCUUCCAUCCUUAUCUGUGUCCACAUCAUGAAUGAUAGCAUUAAUGAUCUCUUCGCUGUUUUCAUCCACUUCAUCAGCCAACGCAUCUCUUAGCUCCUCAAUUUCUAUGUACCCACUUUGGUUUUUAUCAAAGAAUUCAAAGGCCUUGAGAAGGUGUUCAUCGUUGCCCAUCUUUCUUAGGUGAACAGAAAUGGUCAC